UGGGCUGUGGCUCAGUGGUAGAACGCUUGCCUACCAUGCAUGAGGCACUGAGUUCAAUCCCCAGCACUACAU
Non-coding RNA from Ictidomys tridecemlineatus (thirteen-lined ground squirrel), 72 nucleotides. The record is from Rfam. Lineage: Eukaryota; Metazoa; Chordata; Mammalia; Rodentia; Sciuridae.